Molecule: long non-coding RNA, 327 nt
Organism: Hyaena hyaena (striped hyena)
Lineage: Eukaryota; Metazoa; Chordata; Mammalia; Carnivora; Hyaenidae
Exons: 3
Source: RefSeq, a predicted model, not a curated record
GUAUGUGAAUGUGUUCUAGAUUUUAAAAUAUCAAACAAUGAAGCAAGGUCUCUAAGGAUGACUUAGGGAGGUAGACAAGUCCAUGAGGAGGAGGCAGAGCAGUAACUUGAUUGGAUAUGUAUUAGAAAGAUGAUUUUAGGAAUGGACUAAAGAGAGUCUAAAGGAUGGUGCCCAGCUGAGCUGGUGAUUGGGAACUGAGAUCUAACUGAGGCCGACUUGCCGAGGUAUGAUAUAUUGGAGACGCAUCUGCUUAGAUGGGAAACUUUUUCUAAUGUGCCUCAGGUCACUGCAUUCAAAAGAAUGAAUGAGCGCUGAGUAGACCUAAAA